RNAcentral lists this ribosomal RNA (467 nucleotides) under uncultured bacterium. RNAcentral describes it as "bacterial SSU rRNA". It matches the Rfam family "Bacterial small subunit ribosomal RNA", at positions 328 to 793 of the family's 1533-position model. The record is from RNAcentral.
GGGCCAGACUCCUACGGGAGGCAGCAGUGAGGAAUAUUGGUCAAUGGCCGAGAGGCUGAACCAGCCAAGUCGCGUGAGGGAAGACGGCCCUACGGGUUGUAAACCUCUUUUGUCGGGGAGCAAAGAGAGUCACGUGUGACUCAUUGAGAGUACCCGAAGAAAAAGCAUCGGCUAACUCCGUGCCAGCAGCCGCGGUAAUACGGAGGAUGCGAGCGUUAUCCGGAUUUAUUGGGUUUAAAGGGUGCGCAGGCGGCACGGCAAGCCGGCGGUCAAAUCGCGGGGCUCAACCCCGCCCAGCCGUCGGAACUGCCGGGCUAGAGUGGGCGAGAAGUGCGCGGAAUGCGUGGUGUAGCGGUGAAAUGCAUAGAUAUCACGCAGAACCCCGAUUGCGAAGGCAGCCUUCCGGCGCCCUACUGACGCUGAGGCACGAAAGUGCGGGGAUCGAACAGGAUUAGAUACCCCCGUAU